GCCAAUCUCUCCAAUACUUGCCUCUCAAAUUCCUUCCAUGCAUGGUCCCUGUCUGGGAAGGAAUUUGAGAGGCAAGUAUUGGAGUGAUUGGCUUUUUUC
Molecule: non-coding RNA, 99 nt
Organism: Pelobates cultripes (western spadefoot toad)
Lineage: Eukaryota; Metazoa; Chordata; Amphibia; Anura; Pelobatidae
Source: the annotation of a GenBank genome assembly